AUUCAGAACGAGAACAUGAUAUUGAUAAUGUGACAUGAAUAUAAUCAUUGUUUUGUACUGGACCUACACACUGAGCGCUAGUUCACUAGAUACACCGAGCGCUGGUACACAAGAUACUAGUCCACACGAAGACCCGGUCGUUAACAUUCUCUUACUACUGAAUACUGUGUGUUAAGCGGUAAAACAGCAAAAUACUCGUUUUCACGUCUUGUGGUUUGACUCUGCCGGAUAUCGAACCAACAACCUCCUGAACUAGAGCCGAAUAUGGGACAAACGAGGCC
This 281-nucleotide long non-coding RNA is filed under the name Mytilus galloprovincialis (Mediterranean mussel). Lineage: Eukaryota; Metazoa; Mollusca; Bivalvia; Mytilida; Mytilidae. The record is from RNAcentral.